Molecule: RNA transcript, 5853 nt
Organism: Onychostoma macrolepis
Lineage: Eukaryota; Metazoa; Chordata; Actinopteri; Cypriniformes; Cyprinidae
Gene: wdr31
Gene name: WD repeat domain 31
Exons: 12
Source: RefSeq, a predicted model, not a curated record
ACCUCCGUGCGCCUGGUAACAGCGAAAGCGUCUCUCAUGGAGAAGAUGAACUCGAGGAGCCGCGGAAGAUUUAUAGCCGAAACGGAUCACGAUGCGCGAUAAAUCCUUCGUUCACGUACUUUCAACAAGCUCCGACAUAACACGCACAAAUGCGAGCCCUUCACAAUAACACUGACACACUGACAGCGGUAUCCAGCUAAGCGUCUUAAGGCUUGGGACGCUCUCAGAAGCAAGCUGUGUCCAUACAUAACUGAACCCAAUACAUAACUGAUUACCAGCUUAUGCUAGAGACACAACAUCAGCAUCUGUUCUUGGAAGAUCCCAAAAGAGUCUGAAGAUGGCUUGCGCUGUGGAGACAUGAGUGAGACCUCCUGAUAUCGGGUGAUUAGAUGCCCAUACAGGCAUGGGGAAACUACAAAGCAAGUUUCGGCCGCGCUCGGACCUUUACAAGGCCAAAGAGGGGGCGGAGCUUGCACCUGUGCACCAGGUAGUGCAGUAUGAACCCGCUCAUACAGAUGCCAUCAACUGUGUCGUCAGCCUGACCUCUGACCUGUGCGUGUCAGGAGGGCAUGACCAGGCUGUUGUUGUCUAUGACUGGAGAGCUGGAAAACGGUGUAAAUCGUUCCAGGGCCACAGCAGAGAGAUUACAAAGUUAUGCUGUUUUAAAGGAAGUUCCUUGAUCUUCAGUGCGUCCCGUGAUAAGACGGUGCUGAUGUGGGAUUUGGGUCGAGAUACAGAACCUGUCCAGGAGUUUUGUGGCCAUGAGCUCGUAGUUAACGGGAUAGCGGUAGGCCCUGAUGGCUCAAAGCUGUGCACAGGUUCUCGUGAUAACUCCAUGCGCCUCUGGGACAUUGAGUCUGGAGAAUGUUUGCAGAAAAACACCAUCUCACGUAACCUGGUAACUCAUCUGUGCUGGGUACCAGGAAGCACAUCUAUUGUCCAAACCUCAGAAGACAAAACUAUCAGGGUGUGGGAUAGCCGUACCUGGCAGGUCACUAACACAUUUCCGGCAAAGCAGUACAUCCAGACACACUGUGACAUCAGCUCCAACUGUUACCACCUGCUGUCAUCCAGCAAUGGUUUCGGUGGUCAGGGUUGUGAAGCCACGCUGUGGGACCUCAGGCAGCCCGGCUGUAAGGUGGCUGAGUACAGAGGACACCUGCAGACCACCGCAUGCUGCGUGUUUGUGCCUCCCCGUCCCGGAUGUCCUGCCCUCGUGGUGUCAUCGUCGUAUGACAGCUCAGUAAAAAUAUGGGAUCAGAACACUGCAGCAUGUUUGUACACGUUAACGCUGGACGGUUCAGGGCCUUUGGUGUCUCUGGCUCCGUGUGACUCCAGCAGUCUCCUGUGUGCCAGUUUUAACACAGGACUGCACCAGCUGCAUCUAGAUCAGGGAGCAGUGCCCAGCCUCACUGAAGUGGCUCGCUUCUGACGUCCAUCUGGACCGCCUGGAAAAUCAAACCGAUGAGUUAAAACGAACAAAUUUAAUAACUGGAACUCCUGGAAAUGAGAAUGCACACUGCAUUUCCAAAGUACUGUAUGUGGACACCUUAUACUUAUUAAAGAAAUAGGUCCACCAAAAAUGACAAUUUGCUGAAAAUGUACUCGCCUAAAUCCAUCCAAGGUGUAAAUUAGUUUGUUUCUACAUGGGAAAACUCACCAAUGGAGUGAAUGGGUGCCGUCAAAAUGAGAGUCUAAACAGCUCAUAAAAACCACUCCAGUCCAUCAGUUAAUGUCUUGGGAAGUGAAAAGCUGUGUGUUUGUUUAAAUCUCUUAAUCUGUUAUGAUGAAGAAACAAAUUCAUAUACAUCUUGGAUGGCUUGAGGGUGAGUAAAGUUUCAGCAAAUUUUCAUUUUUGGGUGAACUAUUUCUUUAACAGGUUGGUGUAUAACUAAUAGGGGCAUAAAUUGUCUUAAUGUGUCUAAAUGUACCAACAUUGUCCACAUAUUUUUGACCAUGUAGUGUUUGAUCGUCUAAAUACACAAACCAUUAAAGGGUGUAAAAACAUAAUUAACUUACCUAAGGCAAAGAGACUGAGUGGCUAUGAAACUCCCUACCUGCAGAAAUGAUUUACAAUGGCAUUUUCCAAAUAUGGCUUAAUUCAGGGUUAAAAAUAAUCUGAGAUAAGAUGGGUGCUGGUGUUUGCUGUGUGUGUGUGUGUGUGUGUGUGUGUGUGUUACUGUGUAAAAUGAUAUAGGCAGUAUAAUGCCACUCAACUUCUGCUUGGUUGCUGAAUAUGCUUGAAUAAGUUUUUGGAAGCCAGGAGUGUAAAGUACUGGAGUAAUUGUACUUAAUUAUACUGUAUGUUAAUGUAUUAUUUUACAAAGUUUAAGCUUAAUUAUACCACACUUAAUAAUUAGUCCCUACAAUUUCAAAAUACAUAAAAAAAGGUAUUGUGGUUUAAAACAUUUUUAAAAUUAUUACUAUAUUGUGUGUGUAUGUAUGUGUACGUGUGUAUUAUAUAUGUAUUUUAUAUAUAUAUAUAUAUAUAUAUAUAUAUGUAUGUAUAUAUUAGGCUUGCUGAGCUAACAAGCCAGUCAAAUAAUUUUGCUUAACUUUUAUUUGAAUAUUUAAAACUGCCAAAUGUGUAAAAAAUAAGUGGCCACAACAACAUUUAACAUUGUGAAGAAUUUGAUUAAACCUCUUGGAUUAUAAACACCGUUAUACCGAAGACCAAAAUAAGAUGUGCAAACUUGAUUUUAGAUAAAAAAAUUUGGGCUAACUUUAAUAUGUCUUGUGUAAUUAAAAUGAAAAAAACUGUGAGUAAAAAGUUAACAAAGUUUGUGCAUCACAUAUUAAUGUUAAUUUAACGGGACACUCUUGUUCCUCUCAUCUAUUUCUUAAGCUAAAAAUAAUGUUUAUUUUUGGUAUCUAAUGCUUAACUACAAUUAAAUGUGGACUCCUUUUUUAUACAUUCCCACAAAUAUAUUUUCACCUGGAUACUUUAACUUAUAAUUGCGUAAAAUUUUGAGGAAAAAACAUACCCAUACCUUGAGUAUAAUUUCCCUGUACUUUUUACACUCCUGUUGGAGACUUUUUAUUUGCACUUUUCAUUAAGUAAUUGCUAAUGGGUCAAAAUGAUUCACAGCCAAAAGCAUUCAUGCAGAAAGCACAUAGAUGUGAAAUCUCUGUCUCUUUCUCUCCCUGUACACAAACACACACACACACACACACACACACUGCCGGUUACAUUCACACAAACUCAGGGUUUGGCAACAUGGGAAGCUGAAUCAUUUUUCACACAGAAGCUGCUAGAGUUUGCAGACACACACAUAAACGCAUUCGAACAUUUAUGUAAACAGCCUGGUCUUGUAUUUCACACACACAGAGACCCCGAGGAGAGGGAGAGGAUGCUUAUGAGACGAUGUGGCCCUUUAGGAAAUUCAAUACAAAAACAGAAGAUCUCAAUAUUUUCCCAGAAACAUGAUCAGACAAUGGAGAAUGUGAAAUCAGUGAAAAUCAGUGACACAAUGUGUUUUCUGUCAUUGUUGUUUUUAAUAUAUAAUUUUUUUUCUUUAUUAUUAGAACUAUAUUUCUAGAAUAAAAAGAAUAUUGCAGCUUUUUUUUCUGAAAAUACGGUCUUGCCAUCAUGGCAAUGUUGAUUUGAUGUGCAAUGAGAACUGUUUUUUUCUCAAAUAUACCAACCAGAGAGUGUUUGUUUGUUUUAUGUCUUUUAUUUCUGCAUAAAUACACAGCAACACCAAAAAAGUAUUUGAACACUUAAGUCACACUUAAAACUGCCUGAAUGUCAUUGCAUUAGACAACAAAAUAUCAAGCAAAUGUUGCUAGUGCUUUCCUCAAUACAAACUGCAUUUUAUUUUUGUAUUAAUAGUAGUAGUAUUUUACAUUAUGUAUUUUAAUUGUUGAUGUUUUUAUUAUAUUUGUUCAUGUUUUAUUGUAUGGAUUUUAUUUUUAUUUUUUUUUAUUAAAUGUAAUGUAAUUUUUUUUAUAUAUUUAUUUAUUUUUGACUAUUAACAUGAUAUUUUGCAUUUGGCAACAACUUGCUUCGAUACUACAUUUUGCUGUGUAAUGCAAUGACAAGACAUAUAUUUUAAAGUUAAAAUACUUUUUGCCGCCACUAUAACAUUAACAGAACAUUGAUGAAAAAACCAAGCAAGGACAUACUUUGUAUUAUGUGAUGUUGUUUUAAUCGUACAGAAAGAUGUGCUUAUUUGACUAUUAUGUAAAUGCCGAGGUGUGGAGUUAUCAAUUUGAAGGAAAUGUUUAUGUAUUUGCACGUGGCGAGAAUACAUUAUUUCAGUUCAAUGGAGUCAACACCUUUUUUGUCUCUUUUUGCAUACAGUCACAGCAGGAAAUGGAAACAUCUGUGAAAUAAUACUUGCAGCUUGAUCUUUGUAUGAAGUAUGAAGAACGUUUGAAUGAACAAAACCAAAAGUUUUCCCUGUUGGUAUUGGUAAAGUGUUCUUUAUAAGACCUUAAAAUGAUUUUUUUUAAAAACGUGUACAUUAACAGAACUGUACCAAAAUGUCCACUGUUGCAAAAUGUAUUUGUAAUUUUAUUUUAAGCAGAAUUUCUAGAUGGUAUUACAAACAUAAUGUUUAUAUACAGUAUAUAUCAGCAUAGUACUGUCACAGUAACUUGGUGAAGUAAAGACCGAAGGCUUUUGGCUCACAGUCUUCUCUUCAGCUCAGGAAAAGCGUGGUAGAUGUACAAAGAGAGAGAGACGGCACUGAGAAAAGACACUGGCACAUCUCAUCCUCUCCGAAAGGCAACAAAGACGCAAACAACAGCCACAAUGUCCAGGACACCUGCCUCAUCUGACGGGGUAAGAGUAGAUCUUGAGAUAAGUGAGUAACUGUGGAUCUAUACAUUAUAUGAGUGUAUUUUUAUGUCUGCUGUCUUUAUACCAAGUGGAAGAGUGACUUUAAUGGGAUAUUUUGCUUGACUUGAUUAUAGUCGAGCAAAAUUUGCAGCACAAAUCCAAUAGUUUAUGAAUCUCCAGUUGAAAACCAAUGUGGUUAAAUGGGAUUAUGCCAUUAAAAGAAGAAGGCUUUGAGACCAAGACGGGUUUGGAAAUCUAAAUGUGUUAUGCAUCUCUCAGGUUUGUUAUAUGAAAUCAGAUGUUCGACACUUAAAAAAUGUAAUGUAGGUAAACGUAAGGUAAUACAUUCUGAGCGUCCCAUUUGCAUUUUACACUGUGAUGCAACUCAAAUCCAUAAAAAAAUAAAUAAAACAAUUACAGGUGUUAGUAGACUAAGAAACAUUGCAGUUACAUGUUAAAGCCAUUAGAGCCAUUUACACGCAUCUUAUUUGACUAUACUGCCAUCAUAAAUGUAAACUAUGAUCAGUUGAGGCCAAACCAAAGGUCAUCUGAUGGACCUCUAAUGAAGCAACCCAAUCCUUUCUAUCUGCAUCAUGGGCGUCAGUAAUGGGACUCCCUUCUGCUGCUUUGCAUAGUUUUGGGCCGUUCUUUGAUGGAAACCUGUAAGCAUUUCCAAGGCAAAUCUGUUAUUGUGAACAGAUCUAGUGUGUGGGCAGAACAACAAACAAGUCUGUUUACCAGUCGUACUUCAUUCUUUACAACUGAUAGCUAUGUUGACAGUCCAUCCAGAGUAACCUGAAGUAUCUAGUAAGUUCAGAAAUUUGCUCUUUGAACAAGCAAGUCUUGCAAGCCAAGCUAGUUAAAAAACAUCCAAAACACAUGAUAACCAUAUGCAGGGCUCACAAGUCUCAAAAUGUUAUUUUAUUGUAUUGUUUUGACAUUUCCAUUCGUGCAUUUAGCAGAUACUUUUAUCCAAAGUAGGAUAUGUGAAAUUCGACACACAGAGAAUCCAAAUCCAUUUUUUUCUUUUUCUUUUGAUUUUAUUUUUCAUCCAUCCAUCCAUUCUACAA